AACGAACGCUGGCGGCAGGCCUAACACAUGCAAGUCGAACGCCGUAGCAAUACGGAGUGGCAGACGGGUGAGUAACGCGUGGGAACAUACCCCUCGGUUCGGAAUAACUCAGGGAAACUUGAGCUAAUACCGGAUACGUCCGAGGUCUUAAUCGGCCUUGGAGAAAGAUUUAUCGCCGGAGGAUUGGCCCGCGUCUGAUUAGCUUGUUGGUGAGGUAAUGGCUCACCAAGGCGACGAUCAGUAGCUGGUCUGAGAGGAUGAUCAGCCACAUUGGGACUGAGACACGGCCCAAACUCCUACGGGAGGCAGCAGUGGGGAAUAUUGGACAAUGGGCGAAAGCCUGAUCCAGCCAUGCCGCGUGAGUGAUGAAGGCCUUAGGGUUGUAAAGCUCUUUUACCCGGGAAGAUAAUGACGAUACCGGGAGAAUAAGCCCCGGCUAACUUCGUGCCA
RNAcentral lists this ribosomal RNA (450 nucleotides) under uncultured bacterium. RNAcentral describes it as "bacterial SSU rRNA". It matches the Rfam family "Bacterial small subunit ribosomal RNA", at positions 29 to 510 of the family's 1533-position model. The record is from RNAcentral.